GGUGGCUCAGUGGUAGAGUGCUUGCCUUGCAUGCAUGAACGAGGCCCUGAGUUCAAUUCCUCAGUACCA
This 69-nucleotide transfer RNA is filed under the name Dipodomys ordii (Ord's kangaroo rat). It matches the Rfam family "tRNA". From Rfam's summary of the family: Transfer RNA (tRNA) molecules are approximately 80 nucleotides in length. Lineage: Eukaryota; Metazoa; Chordata; Mammalia; Rodentia; Heteromyidae. The record is from Rfam by way of RNAcentral.